Molecule: ribosomal RNA, 467 nt
Filed under: uncultured bacterium
Lineage: Bacteria
Description: partial 16S ribosomal RNA
Rfam family: Bacterial small subunit ribosomal RNA
Source: RNAcentral
ACGAACGCUGGCGGCGUGCUUCACACAUGCAAGUCGAACGGUGAAGCUCCAGCUUGCUGGAGUGGAUCAGUGGCGAACGGGUGAGUAACACGUGAGCAACCUGCCCCAGACUCUGGAAUAAGCGCUGGAAACGGCGUCUAAUACUGGAUACGAGAUCAAGCCGCAUGGUUAUGGUCUGGAAAGUUUUUCGGUUUGGGAUGGGCUCGCGGCCUAUCAGCUUGUUGGUGGGGUAAUGGCUCACCAAGGCGACGACGGGUAGCCGGCCUGAGAGGGCGACCGGCCACACUGGGACUGGGACACGGCCCAGACUCCUACGGGAGGCAGCAGUGGGGAAUAUUGCACAAUGGGCGAAGGCCUGAUGCAGCGACGCCGCGUGAGGGAUGACGGCCUUCGGGUUGUAAACCUCUUUCAGCAGGGAAGAAGCGAAAGUGACGGUACCUGCAGAAGAAGCACCGGCUAACUACGUG